RNAcentral lists this ribosomal RNA (253 nucleotides) under uncultured bacterium. RNAcentral's name for it is "partial 16S ribosomal RNA". It matches the Rfam family "Bacterial small subunit ribosomal RNA", at positions 524 to 776 of the family's 1533-position model. The record is from RNAcentral.
UACGGAGGGGGCUAGCGUUGUUCGGAAUUACUGGGCGUAAAGCGCACGUAGGCGGCUUUGCACGUUAGAGGUGAAAGCCCGGGGCUCAACCCCGGAAUUGCCUUUAAAACUGCAUCGCUAGAAUUGUGGAGAGGUAAGUGGAAUUCCGAGUGUAGAGGUGAAAUUCGUAGAUAUUCGCAAGAACACCAGUGGCGAAGGCGGCUCACUGGCCCGAUACUGACGCUGAGGCACGAAAGCGUGGGGAGCAAACAGG